AUUGAACGCUGGCGGCAGGCCUAACACAUGCAAGUCGAGCGGUUGAAGGGAGCUUGCUCCUGGAUUCAGCGUCGGACGGGUGAGUAAUGCCUAGGAAUCUGCCUGGUAGUGGGGGAUAACGUCCGGAAACGGGCGCUAAUACCGCAUACGUCCUGAGGGAGAAAGUGGGGGAUCUUCGGACCUCACGCUAUCAGAUGAGCCUAGGUCGGAUUAGCUAGUUGGUGGGGUAAAGGCCUACCAAGGCGACGAUCCGUAACUGGUCUGAGAGGAUGAUCAGUCACACUGGAACUGAGACACGGUCCAGACUCCUACGGGAGGCAGCAGUGGGGAAUAUUGGACAAUGGGCGAAAGCCUGAUCCAGCCAUGCCGCGUGUGUGAAGAAGGUCUUCGGAUUGUAAAGCACUUUAAGUUGGGAGGAAGGGCAGUAAGUUAAUACCUUGCUGUUUUGACGUUACCAACAGAAUAAGCACCGGCUAACUUCGUG
Molecule: ribosomal RNA, 484 nt
Filed under: uncultured bacterium
Lineage: Bacteria
Description: partial 16S ribosomal RNA
Rfam family: Bacterial small subunit ribosomal RNA
Source: RNAcentral